Molecule: ribosomal RNA, 490 nt
Filed under: uncultured bacterium
Lineage: Bacteria
Description: partial 16S ribosomal RNA
Rfam family: Bacterial small subunit ribosomal RNA
Source: RNAcentral
AUUGAACGCUGGCGGCAUGCCUUACACAUGCAAGUCGAACGGCAUCGCGGGAAAGCUUGCUUUCCUGGCGGCGAGUGGCGAACGGGUGAGUAACACAUCGGAACGUACCGGCUAGUGGGGGAUAACCCGUCGAAAGACGGGCUAAUACCGCAUACGCUCUUCGGAGGAAAGCAGGGGACCUUUGGGCCUUGCGCUAGCCGAACGGCCGAUGUCCGAUUAGCUAGUUGGUGGGGUAAAGGCCUACCAAGGCGACGAUCGGUAGCGGGUCUGAGAGGACGAUCGGCCACACUGGGACUGAGACACGGCCCAGACUCCUACGGGAGGCAGCAGUGGGGAAUCUUGGACAAUGGGGGCAACCCUGAUCCAGCAAUGCCGCGUGGGUGAAGAAGGCCUUCGGGUUGUAAAGCCCUUUCGGCAGGGAAGAAAUCGGCGGGGCGAAUAACCCUGCUGGAUGACGGUACCUGCAGAAGAAGCACCGGCUAACUACGUG